This 451-nucleotide ribosomal RNA is filed under the name uncultured bacterium. RNAcentral describes it as "bacterial SSU rRNA". It matches the Rfam family "Bacterial small subunit ribosomal RNA", at positions 354 to 796 of the family's 1533-position model. The record is from RNAcentral.
GUGGGGAAUCUUGCGCAAUGGGGGAAACCCUGACGCAGCAACGCCGCGUGGGUGAUGAAGGCCUUCGGGUCGUAAAGCCCUGUCAGGUGGGAAGAACCUCGUCGGUGCUAAUAUUACCGACGCUUGACGGUACCACCGAAGGAAGCACCGGCUAACUCCGUGCCAGCAGCCGCGGUAAUACGGAGGGUGCAAGCGUUGUUCGGAAUUACUGGGCGUAAAGAGCGUGUAGGCGGUUAAGCAAGUCAGAUGUGAAAGCCUUCCGCUUAACGGGAGAACGGCAUUUGAAACUACUUAGCUGGAGUUCGGGAGAGGAGAGUGGAAUUCCCGGUGUAGAGGUGAAAUUCGUAGAUAUCGGGAGGAACACCGGUGGCGAAGGCGGCUCUCUGGCCCGGUACUGACGCUGAGACGCGAAAGCGUGGGGAGCAAACAGGAUUAGAUACCCUAGUAGUCC